Molecule: ribosomal RNA, 460 nt
Filed under: uncultured bacterium
Lineage: Bacteria
Description: partial 16S ribosomal RNA
Rfam family: Bacterial small subunit ribosomal RNA
Source: RNAcentral
CCUACGGGUGGCAGCAGUGAGGAAUAUUGGUCAAUGGGCGCGAGCCUGAACCAGCCAAGUCGCGUGAGGGAUGAAGGUUCUAUGGAUCGUAAACCUCUUUUAUAAGGGAAUAAAGUGUGGGUCGUGUCCUAUUUUGUAUGUACCUUAUGAAUAAGGAUCGGCUAACUCCGUGCCAGCAGCCGCGGUAAUACGGAGGAUCCGAGCGUUAUCCGGAUGUAUUGGGUGUAAAGGGUGCGUAGGCGGCCUUUUAAGUCAGCGGUGAAAGUCUGUGGCUCAACCAUAGAAUUGCUGUUGAAACUGGGGGGCUGGAGUAUGUGUGAGGCAGGUGGAAUGCGUGGUGUAGCGGUGAAAUGCUUAGAUAUCACGCAGAACACCGAUUGCGAAGGCAGCCUGCCAAGCCAUGACUGACGCUGAUGCACGAAAGCGUGGGGAUCAAACAGGAUUAGAUACCCCAGUAGUC